AAAGUCGUAACAAGGUUUCCGUAGGUGAACCUGCGGAAGGAUCAUUGCGAGUACGAGGUUAGGCUUGGUGGGGGAUAUAUGCCCACACUGAGGGUGACUAACUAUUGGUCGUUUCUCUUAAAAUCAGUACAAGACGAUUGUACUGGAAUAGGGGAAACAACACACACGCGUUCUUGUCUGUCAGUCGAGGUAAAUUAAAAAAAACAACUUUUAACAAUGGAUCUCUUGGCUCUU
Molecule: unclassified non-coding RNA, 234 nt
Filed under: Basidiomycota sp.
Lineage: Eukaryota; Fungi; Basidiomycota
Description: partial contains small subunit ribosomal RNA, internal transcribed spacer 1, and 5.8S ribosomal RNA
Rfam family: Eukaryotic small subunit ribosomal RNA (bases 1-47)
Source: RNAcentral